Molecule: ribosomal RNA, 886 nt
Filed under: uncultured fungus
Lineage: Eukaryota; Fungi
Description: SSU rRNA
Rfam family: Eukaryotic small subunit ribosomal RNA
Source: RNAcentral
GUGCCAGCAGCCGCGGUAAUUCCAGUCUCCAAUAGCGUAUAUUAAAGUUGUUGUGGUUAAAAAGCUCGUAGUUGAACCUUGGGCCUGGCUGGCCGGUCCGCCUCACCGCGUGCACUGGUCCGGCCGGGCCUUUCCCUCUGUGGAACCCCAUACCCUUCACUGGGCGUGGCGGGGAAACAGGACAUUUACUUUGAAAAAAUUAGAGUGCUCCAGGCAGGCCUAUGCUCGAAUACAUUAGCAUGGAAUAAUAAAAUAGGACGCGCGGUUCUAUUUUGUUGGUUUAUAGGACCGCCGUAAUGAUUAAUAGGGACAGUCGGGGGCAUCAGUAUUCAACUGUCAGAGGUGAAAUUCUUGGAUCAGUUGAAGACUAACUACUGCGAAAGCAUUUGCCAAGGAUGUUUUCAUUAAUCAGGAACGAAAGUUAGGGGAUCGAAGACGAUCAGAUACCGUCGUAGUCUUAACCAUAAACUAUGCCGACUAGGGAUCGGACGGUGUUAUUCAUGACCCGUUCGGCACCUCACGAGAAAUCAUAGUGCUUGGGCUCCUCGGGAGAGUAUAGACGCAAGGCUGAAACUUAAAGAAAUUGACGGAAGGGCACCACCAGGGGUGGAGCCUGCGGCUUUAAUUUGACUCAACACGGGGAAACUCACCAGGUCCAGACACAAUAAGGAUUGACAGAUUGAGAGCUCUUUCUUGAUUUUGUGGGUGGUGGUGCAUGGACGUUCUUAGUUGGUGGGGUGACUUGUCUGCUUCAUUGCGAUAACGAACGAGACCUUAACCUGCUAAAUAGCCCGCAUGCUCCGGCAGUGCGCUGGCUUCUUAAAGGACUUUCGGCUCAGCCGAAGGAAGGUUGAAGGCAAUAACAGGUCUGUGAUGCCUUUAGAUG